Molecule: ribosomal RNA, 450 nt
Filed under: uncultured Glomeromycotina
Lineage: Eukaryota; Fungi; Glomeromycota
Description: SSU rRNA
Rfam family: Eukaryotic small subunit ribosomal RNA
Source: RNAcentral
CGCAGCCGCGGUAAUUCCAGCUCCAAUAGCGUAUAUUAAAGUUGUUGCAGUUAAAAAGCUCGUAGUUGAAUUUCGGGAUUAGUACGCUGGUCGUGCCUUCGGUAUGUACUGGUGUUGCUGAUUCCUACCUUCUGACGAACCGUCAUGUCAUUCAUUUGGUGUGGCGGGGAAUCAGGACUGUUACUUUGAAAAAAUUAGAGUGUUUAAAGCAGGCUCGCGCUUGAAUACAUUAGCAUGGAAUAAUGAAAUAGGACGUUCGAUCCUAUUUUGUUGGUUUCUAGGAUUGACGUAAUGAUUAAUAGGGAUAGUUGGGGGCAUUAGUAUUCAAUUGUCAGAGGUGAAAUUCUUGGAUUUAUUGAAGACUAACUACUGCGAAAGCAUUUGCCAAGGAUGUUUUCAUUAAUCAAGAACGAAAGUUAGGGGAUCGAAGACGAUCAGAUACCGUCGUAG